Molecule: ribosomal RNA, 621 nt
Filed under: uncultured bacterium
Lineage: Bacteria
Description: bacterial SSU rRNA
Rfam family: Bacterial small subunit ribosomal RNA
Source: RNAcentral
CCUACGGGAGGCAGCAGUGGGGAAUUUUGGACAAUGGGCGAAAGCCUGAUCCAGCAAUGCCGCGUGCAGGACGAAGGCCUUCGGGUUGUAAACUGCUUUUGUACGGAACGAAACGGUCUCCUCUAAUACGGGGGGCUAAUGACGGUACCGUAAGAAUAAGCACCGGCUAACUACGUGCCAGCAGCCGCGGUAAUACGUAGGGUGCGAGCGUUAAUCGGAAUUACUGGGCGUAAAGCGUGCGCAGGCGGUUAUAUAAGACAGAUGUGAAAUCCCCGGGCUCAACCUGGGACCUGCAUUUGUGACUGUAUAGCUGGAGUACGGUAGAGGGGGAUGGAAUUCCGCGUGUAGCAGUGAAAUGCGUAGAUAUGCGGAGGAACACCGAUGGCGAAGGCAAUCCCCUGGACCUGUACUGACGCUCAUGCACGAAAGCGUGGGGAGCAAACAGGAUUAGAUACCCUGGUAGUCCACGCCCUAAACGAUGUCAACUGGUUGUUGGGUCUUCACUGACUCAGUAACGAAGCUAACGCGUGAAGUUGACCGCCUGGGGAGUACGGCCGCAAGGUUGAAACGUCAAAUUGUAGUUAGAGCGNGAGAGNGCGAGGACGACGACGAGGGAGGAGG